AUCAAUUGCCUCCUGUAGAGGGCGUUUAGCCUUUCUGAGAUAUAGAGGUUGCAGAGCUCAGGUCAGAAUUCAUUAAAUAUUGCAAGAGCUCACAGCACAAACGUCUGUUAUUUCUCUGCAGUCUCGCAAGCAGCAAUGAGUGUUAACCCUGCACUGUCUGGGGUGGGAAUUGUUCCCAUGGUGGGAGUGAAGGAGCCAGCCACUGGACCACCAGUAUCAGCAAACGUCUAUAGUAGGCAGAAAUGUUGUUGGAUUACACAGUUUUCCGCUUGAAUAAAGGUCAAGUUAAAGGCCAAACUUCACCAUCUAUAUUUAUUUCCUCUCGGAUGCCGCGACGAGACUCUUGAGUGUGUGCAGGAGAUAAAUUCAGAUAAGUUCUCACAGCCUCCAGUGCAUCAGGAACAUUUCCCCAAAAACUACCUCUUCCUCUUCACUGCGUCUCAGAAAAGAUAAACAUGAUGAACGAAUGUGGGAAAGAUUCCAGGCUCGUGUUUUUUUUUUUUUUUUUUUUUUUGACGGACAAAUAAACGUCGUGAUACUUAUUUAUCGGUGGCGUAACAGUUUUUGCUUAGCCUCAUGUUUUAACCCACGGAGUGUGAAGGAGAUUUUAGAAGUCAAGCACAAUUGCGCCGAAUGUAAUUAUAAAAGCUACGGUUCAGUUCGCGAUCAUCAGAAAUUCAGAACUCGAACUCGCCUCGGCUUCUUUCUCGCUAUUGUUUACUUCACGCUUGGGCUGAUUUUUAAUUCAGAAAAAAUGGAAAUGUGAUCACAAAAUAAACGGACAGUAAAUAAAUGUGCUGAGAAGACACACCGAGGGCAAAAGUGGAGGAAAGAUACGACUCUAUUACACUCUGUGAAGAAAGUUUUAACGUUUUGGUCCUUAAACCAUGAAA
Tachysurus fulvidraco (yellow catfish) is the source of this 893-nucleotide long non-coding RNA. RefSeq lists it as uncharacterized. The transcript is spliced from 3 exons. The record is from RefSeq and is a predicted model, not a curated record. Lineage: Eukaryota; Metazoa; Chordata; Actinopteri; Siluriformes; Bagridae.